RNAcentral lists this non-coding RNA (46 nucleotides) under Schistosoma margrebowiei. The record is from RNAcentral. Lineage: Eukaryota; Metazoa; Platyhelminthes; Trematoda; Strigeidida; Schistosomatidae.
AUUUAGCGGACGAGUCCCAAAUAGGACAAAAACACGUGUUUUAAAU